UACGAAGGGGGCUAGCGUUGCUCGGAAUCACUGGGCGUAAAGGGUGCGUAGGCGGGUCUUUUAAGUCAGAGGUGAAAUCCUGGAGCUCAACUCCAGAACUGCCUUUGAUACUGAGGAUCUUGAGUUCGGGAGAGGUGAGUGGAACUGCGAGUGUAGAGGUGAAAUUCGUAGAUAUUCGCAAGAACACCAGUGGCGAAGGCGGCUCACUGGCCCGAUACUGACGCUGAGGCACGAAAGCGUGGGGAGCAAACGGGG
RNAcentral lists this ribosomal RNA (255 nucleotides) under uncultured bacterium. RNAcentral describes it as "partial 16S ribosomal RNA". It matches the Rfam family "Bacterial small subunit ribosomal RNA", at positions 524 to 777 of the family's 1533-position model. The record is from RNAcentral.